UACGAGGGGUGCAAGCGUUGCUCGGAAUCAUUGGGCGUAAAGCGGGUGUAGGUGGUUAUAUAAGUCAGAGGUGAAAGCCCAGGGCUCAACCCUGGAAGUGCCUUUGAUACUGUAUGACUUGAGUGUGGGAGAGGGUGCUAGAAUUCCUGGUGUAGUGGUGAAAUACGUAGAGAUCAGGAGGAACAUCGGCGGCGAAGGCGGGUGCCUGGCCCAACACUGACACUCAGACCCGAAAGCGUGGGGAUCAAACAGG
Molecule: ribosomal RNA, 253 nt
Filed under: uncultured bacterium
Lineage: Bacteria
Description: partial 16S ribosomal RNA
Rfam family: Bacterial small subunit ribosomal RNA
Source: RNAcentral